Molecule: long non-coding RNA, 1313 nt
Organism: Symphalangus syndactylus (siamang)
Lineage: Eukaryota; Metazoa; Chordata; Mammalia; Primates; Hylobatidae
Source: RefSeq, a predicted model, not a curated record
GUCAGCCCAAGAAUUUCUUUUAAAAGGCCGAGUGAAGGAGGCCACAGCUGCUGGACUGGGAGACAGAAUUUGCAUGAGCCUGGGGCUGGGCUCUGGGCACAAACCUCCGGAUGUCUUCAGGGAUCUGUGAGCAGAGAGGCCUGGCUGCAAAGGGUCUGGAGGACAGCCCUUCUGCUAAGGCGUCCGCCCCCAAGGCAGAGGGCUUGGGGGAGCUGGAGGAGGCUGGGCUCCAGGAGGGGUGGCCAGUAGACGCCCCUGGCUGCUGCAUGGAAACUGGGCUGUGGGGGCAGAGGAGUGGAGAGACUAGCCAGGAGGCUGCAGCUGCGGUUUCACUCUACUCCCCACAGCCCGAUGAGGGGAGAUAAAGACAGAAGUCAAGGAUGGACUUGGUUUGGGGCUUGAGCGACUGGGUCCAUGCAGGUGUCCUUGCCUGAGACAAGGAUGGUUUGAGCCAGGGCACCCAGCCGGAGCUGGCUAGACUCCCUUUCUCCCGUGCCGCCCACCCUGCAGAAGGCCCGGAGCGUUCAUGCCAGCAUUCAGGGACCUCCACGCCCCUCCCUCCUCUUGCCUCUCCACUUUGACCUCACGCUGUUCCCCAUGGCCACAGAGCUCUUCUCUCUCUCUCCUGACAUGCCAUGCUCAGUCCCAGCUCCAGACCUUUGCUCACGCUGCUCUCCCUGAGGGCCCUUCCUCCUCCCUUGGCCUGAGUGGAGGCCUGAGAAGGGCUUCAUAGAGCAGUGGCUCUCAAGCUAGCACCUGCCUGGAUUUGAAUUCCAGCGCUACCACCUCCUAGCAUGUGAUCCUAAGCACAUUCCUUAACAGGACUCAAUUUCUUCAUCCGCCAAGUAAGAGUGAAAAUAUAAGUGCUGACCACGUGGGGGUAGUUGCAGGAUUAAAGAAGAAGCACUCAUUCGUUUCACUCUGGGAACAAGAGAAAUGUCAACCAGGGUUAGCCAGUGUUACUUCCUAGUGGCACAGAAAUGGCAUGAGGGGCUGGGCACAGGGGCCCAUGCCUGUCAUCCCAGCACUUUGGGAGGCUGAGACGGAAGGAUUACUUGAGCUCAGGAAUUCGAGACCAGCCUGGGCAACACAGGGAAACCCUGUUUCUAGAAAAAAUUUACAAAUUAGCCAGGUGUGGUGGUGCACACCUGUGGUCCCAGCUACUCUGGAGGCUGAGGUGGGAAGAUCACUUGAACCUGAGAGGUCGAAGCUGCAGUAAGUGGUGAUUGCACCACUGCACUCCACCUGGGCAGCAGAGCAAGACCUUGUCUCCAAAAAUAAAAUAUAAAAUAAAAAAAUUUUAAAAGCAUGGA